AUUGAACGCUGGCGGCAUGCCUUACACAUGCAAGUCGAACGGCAGCACGGGUGCUUGCACCUGGUGGCGAGUGGCGAACGGGUGAGUAAUACAUCGGAACAUGUCCUGUAGUGGGGGAUAGCCCGGCGAAAGCCGGAUUAAUACCGCAUACGAUCUACGGAUGAAAGCGGGGGACCUUCGGGCCUCGCGCUAUAGGGUUGGCCGAUGGCUGAUUAGCUAGUUGGUGGGGUAAAGGCCUACCAAGGCGACGAUCAGUAGCUGGCCUGAGAGGACGACCAGCCACACUGGGACUGAGACACGGCCAAGACUCCUACGGGAGGCAGCAGUGGGGAAUUUUGGACAAUGGGCGAAAGCCUGAUCCAGCAAUGCCGCGUGUGUGAAGAAGGCCUUCGGGUUGUAAAGCACUUUUGUCCGGAAAGAAAUCCUUGGCCCUAAUACGGUCGGGGGAUGACGGUACCGGAAGAAUAAGCACCGGCUAACUACGUG
RNAcentral lists this ribosomal RNA (486 nucleotides) under uncultured bacterium. Its description in RNAcentral is "partial 16S ribosomal RNA". It matches the Rfam family "Bacterial small subunit ribosomal RNA", at positions 30 to 507 of the family's 1533-position model. The record is from RNAcentral.